RNAcentral lists this ribosomal RNA (496 nucleotides) under uncultured bacterium. Its description in RNAcentral is "partial 16S ribosomal RNA". It matches the Rfam family "Bacterial small subunit ribosomal RNA", at positions 28 to 506 of the family's 1533-position model. The record is from RNAcentral.
GAUGAACGCUGGCGGCGUGCCUAAUACAUGCAAGUCGAGCGAACGGACGAGAAGCUUGCUUCUCUGAUGUUAGCGGCGGACGGGUGAGUAACACGUGGAUAACCUACCUAUAAGACUGGGAUAACUUCGGGAAACCGGAGCUAAUACCGGAUGAUAUUUUGAACCGCAUGGUUCAAAAGUGAAAGACGGUCUUGCUGUCACUUAUAGAUGGAUCCGCGCUGCAUUAGCUAGUUGGUAAGGUAACGGCUUACCAAGGCAACGAUGCAUGGCCGACCUGAGAGGGUGAUCGGCCACACUGGAACUGAGACACGGUCCAGACUCCUACGGGAGGCAGCAGUAGGGAAUCUUCCGCAAUGGGCGAAAGCCUGACGGAGCAACGCCGCGUGAGUGAUGAAGGUCUUCGGAUCGUAAAACUCUGUUAUUAGGGAAGAACAUAUGUGUAAGUAACUGUGCACAUCUUGACGGUACCUAAGCAGAAAGCCACGGCUAACUACGU